This is a long non-coding RNA of Bubalus bubalis (water buffalo), 2513 nucleotides long. RefSeq lists it as uncharacterized. The record is from RefSeq and is a predicted model, not a curated record. Lineage: Eukaryota; Metazoa; Chordata; Mammalia; Artiodactyla; Bovidae. The transcript is spliced from 3 exons.
AAAUAACUUAAAAAAAAAAGAACAAAUGUUUUCAGUCAUGCCUAGCAGACCUUGCUAAUGCAAUCUUUUGCUUUAGGCUUUGAUAUGUUAAAACCUAUUCAGUAUCUCAGAAAAUGCAAGGGAAGAAAUAGAAGACAAAGAGAGAUGUUUUGCUUUUAUCCAUUAUUAUGGUAGGAUAAGCACUGCGUAUCACAAGAGAAAAGAAUUUCAAUUAUGAAAUUCAGUGCACAUGUGAAAAUAGGUAAGGUCUUUGGGUAAAUACAGGCAGCCCAAUUAAAUUUGAAUUUCAGAUAAACAAUGGAUUCUUUUCUACUCAGUGAUUUAGUAACUUUUAGUGUAAGUAUUCAGUAUAUGUCAUGCAGGUACAUGGGAUAUAUUUUUAUUUACCAAAUUUGGCAGCCAAAGCAAUAGGCCAUGUAAAAUGCGGCAAAAAUUGCAUCUAUAAUUAAUAAAAAUUAGAAUCUAUAGAGGUGCCAAGAGGAUGCCUACACAAAUUCUUUAUGGAAUACGUUACAAUUUAAACAGCAGUAAUAUAUACUCCAUGAUUACAGCUCAACAGGAAAUCUCUAAGUGUUUUUGAUUAAGAUACCUCUUUAGGUAUGAGAUGGCUGGAUGGCAUCACCGACUCGAUGGACACGAGUUUGAGUGAACUCCGGGAGUUGGUGAUGGACAGGGAGGCCUGGCAUGCUGCGAUUCAUGGGGUCACAAAGAGUCGGACACGACUGAGCGACUGAACUGAACUGACCUCUUUAGGUGAGGAUUGUAAUGUUAAGAGAUAAUAAUUUUAAAUAAUUCCAUGUAUUUCGAUUCUACGAUAAGUACCAUUUUACUAACACUUUUUACUAAUUUAUGUGUAAAAAGAAUUUAAUCAAAAUGAAACAUCGCAUGUUCUCAAGAAAAAACAAAGCAAAACACAAAAAAGCCGCCCGGAGCAGUCUGAGCUGUUGGAAAAUAUAGUCAGUAGAGGGCGCUAGAGUAUCACGGAUGAAUUUCGACUCAUAAAAGGCUCGUUUUUUGCAGUGCUUUGUGGUACUUUGAUUUUAUUUAAAUAUUUAUUUCAGUCCACUUUGCCAUGCAGUGUUGCUAAUACAGAUUAGAAACUAAAGGCAGUACGAGUGUACUGUUCAGCCCUAAAUGAUACAUUUCUUUUGCCCAAGAUCCUUGACAGCAAUGCACUUUAGCCCAUGUUGGCAAUUGAAAGUACUGAGCUUUCUGUUUCGGCUUGAAUGCUCGGGUCUCUGCAAGUGUGUGUGAUUGUGUGAGUAAUAAUGGGUCUAAUUAACAAAGGCAGUGGCAGGUGGAGGUUUAUCAGGUGAAGGAUGUGAAAAUCCCAGUUGGCGUGGGAGAUGGCCAUGGCUGGCCUGACUUGGCUCCUGAACCAGAGAAUGUGUCACAUGUCACAGUUCUGUCCUCAUGUGGACACACCUAAAAGGUGUACGGAGGUCUAGUUAAAUUCAAGACAAUUUCAUUUCCCCUCCGUGCUGCCUAUGCGACAGAGAAGGAGCGCUCAUUAUGUGUCUGCUUUGGGCUAGGCUUGCGCUUUUGUAAGGUGGCUUCCCUGGUGGUUCAGACGGUAAAGUGUCUGCCUGCAAUGUGGGAGACCCAGAUAAAACAACAACUGAGGCUGAGAGAAAGAAUGGAUUUCCAUGGACACUAUUCUUGCAUAUAGUAAGACUCCAGCCUCUAUGACAUAUUCCCGAGUUCCAAAGGGCAGAUUAAAACAAUUACUAAUCAAGGGAGAAACAGCCAAGAAACCAUCUGAGGCAAGAUUAAAGGAACUGGAGAAGCUCAUCAAGAUUAGGAGACCAAACUCCUCAGUCUCUCAGGAGACUGAGAUUAGGGACUGCAGGUCCUGUAGAACCCUAAUCCUUAUUGGCAACCCCAUCCUUGUUAUAAAAUCUUCAUUAAAUCCUCCUGGGUUGGAACACAAUUUUGUGAGGCAUGAGCCUCCUGUGUCCCCCUUUGCCUGGCAAAGCAAUAAAGCUAUUCUUUUCUACUUCACCAAAACUGUCUCUGAGAUUCAACUGGGCACCAGUGCUGAGCUUUUGGCAAUCUCAGUCAAUUUAUUUGGCCUUCCUAUGUCUCACUUUAUUUCCUCAAAGUGAGGAACAUUUACCAGUCUGUUUCCUCCUUUUGAAAAUGGAGACUAUACUAGUACCUACCUCAACACUGUUUUGAAGAUUAAAUGAUGUAUAAAAGUGCUUGGCACAGAUACAUUUCUCAAGUGUGGUAGCUAUCAUAUUAAUAUAUAUUAGAAUGGCAUUGAAACAUGUAAAAUAUCAUGUAUGAAAUGAAAAAAAAAUAAAUGAAUACAUAAAUGAAAAAAAAAAAAAAGAAAAUGCAGAUGGAAGAAAUCCAUGAAAUUAGCAAUCAAGAUCAAGGGACUGACACGAAUAUUGAAAUCACCAAGAAUUAUAUCAGGAGGAGGGCUGAAGAGAGCAUCAGGGAGGCAGAUGUUAAAAUCAUCAAGGAAUAAAGAGGAGGGAAGACUGGGUUUGUGGUUGAUUCCAACA